AGCGAUUAGUCAAGUCAUAGUUUAUUUAUAUAGCCCAAUAUCACUAAUUUGUCUCAAAGGGUUUCACAAUCUGUAAGCCUGGAUUCGGAUGAGGAAAAACUCCCUGUGGGCUGGUGUUAUUUUUGAUGCAUUGUAAAAUAAUAACUUGCUCUUAACACAACACUCCUGAUUUAUUACUUUUACACUCACAUUUCUGUUUUGUGUCUCCGCUUUAUACCCUGGGGCCCUCUGACUACAAGGGGGCCUUACCCACAGAUCAGUCAAGAGGGAGGCCCCCAUGGCUGGAGGCCCCCGAGCAGCAAUCCAUCCAGGCUUCCACCAUGGAACACCAACAACAGAAAAACCAGCCAUCAAUAGAUGGUCUGACUGUGAGGGCUUUCUGCCCUCUUAGAUUUCAGCCUGUGAUGCUAUGUUACAGUAUGAAGAAAGGCAGUGUUAUUUCAUACUGCUGCAGCUUCCCAGACAAUCUCCUGAACCUAAACAGCGAUGAAACGAUAACAUGGACACACACGAAAGUGGCAAUUAAAAGCUGCUCCCCGCAGCACCGUACACAAUGUUCUCAUGGAUCCUGGUGGAGCCUCCUGCCAUGGUCCUGCUUGACUACACUUGCCAAUAUCACUGAUAUUAGUGUUUUUAUUAUUAUAAAGUAUUAUUAUAGAUACGGUUACUGUUGUUGCUGUUGUCACUGCUCAUUGUCCCCCAUCGUUGCUGUUGUCAUGUUCAUCAUCAUCAGUCACUACUAUUAGUGAAGUUGUUGCUACUGUUGUUGCUGUGCACGUCUGUCUGUCUGUCUAUCUGUCUGUCUCUCUCUCUCUCUCUCUCUCUCUCUUUCACCCCAGCUGGUCGAGACAGACGACCACCCACCUAGAGCCGAAGGAUCUGUCCUAGGUUUCUGCCUUUUAACAGGCAGUUUUUCCUUGCCCUUGUCGCCAAGUGCUUGCUCAUGGUGGUACUGUUGGGUCUCUGUAAAUAAUGUUAUAAAGAGUUCGGCCUAGCCCUGCUCUAUUUGAA
Molecule: long non-coding RNA, 1011 nt
Organism: Dicentrarchus labrax (European seabass)
Lineage: Eukaryota; Metazoa; Chordata; Actinopteri; Moronidae
Exons: 3
Source: RefSeq, a predicted model, not a curated record